GACGAACGCUGGCGGCGUGCUUAACACAUGCAAGUCGAACGGAAAGGCCCUGCUUUUGUGGGGUGCUCGAGUGGCGAACGGGUGAGUAACACGUGAGUAACCUGCCCUUGACUUUGGGAUAGCUUCAGGAAACUGGGGCUAAUACCGGAUAGGAGCUCCUGCUGCAUGGUGGGGGUUGGAAAGUUUCGGCGGUUGGGGAUGGACUCGCGGCUUAUCAGCUUGUUGGUGGGGUAGUGGCUUACCAAGGCUUUGACGGGUAGCCGGCCUGAGAGGGUGACCGGCCACAUUGGGACUGAGAUACGGCCCAGACUCCUACGGGAGGCAGCAGUGGGGAAUAUUGCACAAUGGGCGGAAGCCUGAUGCAGCAACGCCGCGUGCGGGAUGACGGCCUUCGGGUUGUAAACCGCUUUCGCCUGUGACGAAGCGUGAGUGACGGUAAUGGGUAAAGAAGCACCGGCUAACUACGUGCCAGCAGCCGCGGUGAUACGUAGGGUGCGAGCGUUGUCCGGAUUUAUUGGGCGUAAAGGGCUCGUAGGUGGUUGAUCGCGUCGGAAGUGUAAUCUUGGGGCUUAACCCUGAGCGUGCUUUCGAUACGGGUUGACUUGAGGAAGGUAGGGGAGAAUGGAAUUCCUGGUGGAGCGGUGGAAUGCGCAGAUAUCAGGAGGAACACCAGUGGCGAAGGCGGUUCUCUGGGCCUUUCCUGACGCUGAGGAGCGAAAGCGUGGGGAGCGAACAGGCUUAGAUACCCUGGUAGUCCACGCUGUAAACGGUGGGUACUAGGUGUGGGGUCCAUUCCACGGGUUCCGUGCCGUAGCUAACGCUUUAAGUACCCCGCCUGGGGAGUACGGCCGCAAGGCUAAAACUCAAAGGAAUUGACGGGGCCCCGCACAAGCGGCGGAGCAUGCGGAUUAAUUCGAUGCAACGCGUAGAACCUUACCUGGGUUUGACAUGGAUCGGGAGCGCUCAGAGAUGGGUGUGCCUCUUUUGGGGUCGGUUCACAGGUGGUGCAUGGCUGUCGUCAGCUCGUGUCGUGAGAUGUUGGGUUAAGUCCCGCAACGAGCGCAACCCUUGUUCACUGUUGCCAGCACGUUAUGGUGGGGACUCAGUGGAGACCGCCGGGGUCAACUCGGAGGAAGGUGGGGAUGACGUCAAGUCAUCAUGCCCCUUAUGUCCAGGGCUUCACGCAUGCUACAAUGGCUGGUACAGAGAGUGGCGAGCCUGUGAGGGUGAGCGAAUCUCGGAAAGCCGGUCUCAGUUCGGAUUGGGGUCUGCAACUCGACCUCAUGAAGUCGGAGUCGCUAGUAAUCGCAGAUCAGCAACGCUGCGGUGAAUACGUUCCCGGGGCU
This 1346-nucleotide ribosomal RNA is filed under the name uncultured bacterium. RNAcentral's name for it is "bacterial SSU rRNA". It matches the Rfam family "Bacterial small subunit ribosomal RNA", at positions 28 to 1381 of the family's 1533-position model. The record is from RNAcentral.